RNAcentral lists this unclassified non-coding RNA (228 nucleotides) under Hevea brasiliensis (rubber tree). Lineage: Eukaryota; Viridiplantae; Streptophyta; Magnoliopsida; Malpighiales; Euphorbiaceae. The record is from RNAcentral.
AAGAAAUCGAUCUUUGACGAACAAACAUCGAAGGCCCUCAAGAAGUGGCACAUGGCUGUUAAGAAGCGACAUGGAAAGUCCCCCACUCGAAAGCUAGGGAGUCCAAAUGCGUCGCCAAUGCAUUCAUCAUCUGGAUACACAUUGCAUCGUUUCAAGACCACAGGUCACUCAAACAGAUCAUCCAUGUAUGACGAAAAUGAUGCAUCUGAUUAUGAAGUUGAUCCGUUG